UUUUCAUCAAUGGUCAUGAUCAUGCCAACAACUAUCCAUCAAUGCUCUACGAGCCAAUGAGGACUUUUACCACAUCAUUUGUAACAUUACGGUCAUGAUUAUAUCGAAUGAUCCCUGGUCAUAAUCAUACCAAGUCCAUCUAUGCACUACAUGCCACAGAUGACUUUCAACAGAAUAUAAACAUGAGGAUGAUGACAAUGAUAUAGGAAUUCAAUAAAACAAGUUCAAGAAUUAAUUUAUCCAGGAACCAAUAACAUCCAAAUUGUCAACAUGAUACUGCUUUGUAGAGUAAAAUUCAUGAAUGCUCAGAAGAAUAUUUCCAUGAAAAGAUACUGGAUGAAGCGCAAUAUCAAGGAUAUUCCACUAAUUUCAUGGAGUAUAAAAGACAAAACUUUAACCAACUGAGUAUAAUAAAGAAUGGAAUAACAAAAGAAUUCACCAAGCAUGCGAUAGACCGCACAGAUAGGUUAUUCCAACAGAAUAAUAAAUAAUGGAACCAGGUCAUGCAUAAACGCACAGACAGGAUAUUCCAACAGAAUAAUAAAUAAUGGAACCAGGUCAUGCGUAAAGCACAGACAUGAUGUUCCAACAGAAUGAUAAAUAAUGGAACCAAGUCAUGCGUACAACACAGACAGGAUGUUCCAACAGAAUGAUAAAGAAUGGAAUAAUAGAAGAAUUUCACCAUGUAUAUGGUAGUCCGCGUAUACAGGUUAUUCCAACAGAAUAAUAAAGAAUAGAAUAACAGAAGUUCUCUUCAUGAAUACAAAAGAAAUAACACCCCUUACCUUAGUAGGAGAUUGAAUAUUGUAGUAGUGUAGUAACAGAAUACUCUUCCUCUUUCUCUUUUAUUUUCUCUAUACUUUCUCUCUCUAUAGCUUGAAUGAAUUCGUGAAAAAUAAUGAAGAACUAGGCCUCUAUUUAUAGAAGAUUUCAAGCUUAGCCCUUGCAAUGUGAAAAGGCAAGCGGCUUGACGAGUGGUGAUGUGAAAAGAAAAGUGGUUUGACGCCUGUAAUGUGAAACACCAAGUGGUUUGACGCCUGUAAUGUGAAACAACAAGUGGUUUGACGCCUGUAAUGUGAAACGACAAUUGGUUCGACACCUGUAAUGUGAAACGACAAUUAGUUCGAUGCCUAUAAUGUGAAACGACAAUUGGUUCGACGCCUGUAAUAUGACACGGCAAGUGGUUUGACGUCUGGUAAAG
RNAcentral lists this long non-coding RNA (1201 nucleotides) under Panax ginseng (ginseng). RNAcentral describes it as "long non-coding RNA (PGIN_LNC017796)". The record is from RNAcentral. Lineage: Eukaryota; Viridiplantae; Streptophyta; Magnoliopsida; Apiales; Araliaceae.